RNAcentral lists this long non-coding RNA (1152 nucleotides) under Populus trichocarpa (black cottonwood). RNAcentral describes it as "long non-coding RNA (PTRI_LNC004253)". Lineage: Eukaryota; Viridiplantae; Streptophyta; Magnoliopsida; Malpighiales; Salicaceae. The record is from RNAcentral.
UUCCAAUCUCAAGAUCCAGCAUUGAACAUGACAUGAGCUACCCCUUCUGUCAUCCUUUCACCUUAUGUUAUGCAAAUCCUAUUGGGCUGUUUUAAAAUAAAUUAAUUAGCAUAAUUUGUUCUAAAAUUAUCUGAUUGAUGACAUAUGAACUACCAUUAUAAUAACAUACUUUGAUGGCUCUAUGAAGUGUGAACACUAGAAUCUUGGUCAGCUAGCAUCCAAGAGGACCAAGACAACACCACAAAAAGGAUGAAGAGAGACAAAGCAGUAGAGUAAAGAAAUUUACAUCAAUAAAUCCAAUAAUAAAUCAUCAACAUGGCAAGAUCGCAACACAAACAUGAUUAGAACAACAUUAAGGACCAACCCAAAAACAAAAUUAAUAAAGAAAAAGCAAGCCUAUAAUGUCUUAAACAUUACAAGAACAAACAAAAUAACACCCACAUGAGAUCCUUUUCCAUUCAUAUAUAUAGAGAGUAACAAGAUCAAACAUGGGGUUUGUUGGUAAUAGUAUUCAUAACAACAUCAAUCAACGUUUCUUCAUGUUCUUGACCUUAAUCCAUCCUUUCUUGCAUGAUUCUCCCACGAUCUUGACUCCUUUCUUGAACAAAACCGUGAGCUCCUUGGCUCUCACCUUCACCUUGUUCUCAAAAUCACCCAUGUCUAGAGAUGGAGAAAGGGCGAGAAGGGGAGAGAAGAUAAUUAACACAAGAAAAGGAAUAACCUUUUAGUAGAGAAUCUAGAGGUAUAUAUGGACGAAGAGGAAGUUAGGGCAAGCUAAGAUUUGGGUGUCUCCUUUCUGUUAACGAGUAAAGAUAGUUGCUUUGCAAGCCUAGCACAGAGAGAGAGAUUCUAAGGAAAGAAGUGAUGGCUCUUCUUGGUUGGAGGCUACUUAAUGUUAAGGUAAUUACGUGGGAUCCAACGCAUUGAAGGACACGUGGCAAAGAUCAAGUGGGUUACAUGACUUUUUAGCUCCUGAUUGUCUCAUAUUAGACGUUGCGUGUUAUGGUCUUGGUCGAACUGGAGGGUUCGUUUUGUCAGGCAAUAGGCUUUAGUUUUGUCCGAGCUUCGUGUUUAAGACAGGUAAAUUUUAGUUACCAUUUCUCUGAAGAAUUGUGGUAAAUUUAGAUAUUUUCUAAAAAAACAGAAGCCUCC